CCUUGUACACACCGCCCGUCACACCAUGGGAGUCAACUGCUCCAGAAGUCGGUGACCCAACCCGCGAGGGGGGAGCCGCCUAAGGAGUGGUUGGUGACUGGGGUG
RNAcentral lists this ribosomal RNA (105 nucleotides) under uncultured bacterium. RNAcentral's name for it is "partial 16S ribosomal RNA". It matches the Rfam family "Bacterial small subunit ribosomal RNA", at positions 1379 to 1482 of the family's 1533-position model. The record is from RNAcentral.